Molecule: ribosomal RNA, 238 nt
Filed under: uncultured bacterium
Lineage: Bacteria
Description: partial 16S ribosomal RNA
Rfam family: Bacterial small subunit ribosomal RNA
Source: RNAcentral
UGGCGGACGGGUGAGUAACGCGUGGGUAACCUGCCUCACACUGGGGGAUAACAGUUAGAAAUAGCUGCUAAUACCGCAUAAGCGCACGGUUCCACAUGGAACAGUGUGAAAAACUCCGGUGGUGUGAGAUGGACCCGCGUCUGAUUAGCCAGUUGGCGGGGUAACGGCCCACCAAAGCGACGAUCAGUAGCCGGCCUGAGAGGGUGAACGGCCACAUUGGGACUGAGACACGGCCCAA